UCCGAAGGGGCGGCGGGUCCUGGCGGGACGGCCGUGGCCUCCCCCGGCGCCGGGGAGCGGUGUGGGUGCCGAGGGGCAGCCUGCGGGGCGGCUUCUGCCUGAGCGGGUCCCGCUCCUCCGGGCCGUGCUUCGUUGGUGACUGUCGUCAAGAAGAGGGUGACAUCUGGAACGGAGUGUCCACAGGCACUGUUCAAAGCUUAGGUGUUUUUACAGGUUGGGCGUGGCCCGGGGGACCAAGGGCGAUCAGCUGUCGUGAGCCCAUGGCCCUGACUGGUGUCUGCUGGAGUCCCAGUACAAAUCCUUGCAAGUUGUGUCAGAAAUUAUUCUUCCCAAGAUGAUUAUUCAAAGGUUCUUGAAGGUCUGAAUAGGUGACUGUAUCUGGGAUAAUUGUAGAAGCUAUACCUGCAGUUUUGUGGACAGAUGCAGGAAGAAUGAGAUGUCUUCUGAUUAUCAUUGUUGGCAUCAACAAGGAGCAGAACAUCUGCUAAAGAAUUUGGACUUCUGGGAUAUUCUUGACAUCAACCUGCAAAAUGGCCCCUGCUUGGAGAGAUGCUUUGCCUUUUGCCAGUGUCAGCUAUUCGUGUUAAACCAGCACAGCACCAAUGGGAGAUUAACUUGGAGGACACUGACACCAUUUGCAAUAGUGGAAGUCUUGCAACCACAGGAGCAUUGCACCUUCUGUUGCUCUCCACCCUGUGAUAACUCCUGAAAAAUUUAUGAAGUCUUUUCUGUUGAAACAAAUGUUCAUGAAUGGCAUUGUUGUAACUUCAUAAUUUUAAAUCAGAAGAUGGUAAACAGUAACAAAAUAAAGUUCC
This is a long non-coding RNA of Calypte anna (Anna's hummingbird), 815 nucleotides long. RefSeq lists it as uncharacterized. Lineage: Eukaryota; Metazoa; Chordata; Aves; Apodiformes; Trochilidae. The transcript is spliced from 5 exons. The record is from RefSeq and is a predicted model, not a curated record.